This 468-nucleotide ribosomal RNA is filed under the name uncultured bacterium. RNAcentral's name for it is "partial 16S ribosomal RNA". It matches the Rfam family "Bacterial small subunit ribosomal RNA", at positions 28 to 507 of the family's 1533-position model. The record is from RNAcentral.
GACGAACGCUGGCGGCGUGCUUAACACAUGCAAGUCGAACGGAAAGGCCUUGCUUUUGUGGCGUGCACGCGUGGCGAACACGUGUGUAACACGUGUGUAACCUCCCCUUUACUUUGGGAUAACUUCAGGAAACUCGGGCUAAUACCGCAUAGGAGCUCCUGCUGCAUUGUGGGGGUUGGAAAGUUUCGGCGGUUCGGGAUGGACUCGCGGCUUAUCAGCUUGUUGGUGGGGUAGUGGCUUACCAAGGCUUUGACGGGUAGCCGGCCUGAGAGGGUGACCGGCCACAUUGGGACUGAGAUACGGCCCAGACUCCUACGGGAGGCAGCAGUGGGGAAUAUUGCACAAUGGGCGGAAGCCUGAUGCAGCAACGCCGCGUGCGGGAUGACGGCCUUCGGGUUGUAAACCGCUUUCGCCUGGGACGAAGCGUGAGUGACGGUAAUGGGAAAAGAAGCACCGGCUAACUACGUG